Molecule: ribosomal RNA, 849 nt
Filed under: uncultured bacterium
Lineage: Bacteria
Description: bacterial SSU rRNA
Rfam family: Bacterial small subunit ribosomal RNA
Source: RNAcentral
AGAGUUUGAUCCUGGCUCAGAUUGAACGCUGGCGGUAUGCUUAACACAUGCAAGUCGAACGGUAACAGGCAAAAGCUUGCUUUUGCGCUGACGAGUGGCGGACGGGUGAGUAACGCGUAGGAAUCUGCCUAGUAGUGGGGGACAACCUGGUGAAAACCAGGCUAAUACCGCAUACGCCCUACGGGGGAAAGCGGGGGAUCUUCGGACCUCGCGCUAUUAGAUGAGCCUGCGUUAGAUUAGCUAGUUGGUGGGGUAAAGGCCUACCAAGGCGACGAUCUAUAGCUGGUCUGAGAGGACGAUCAGCCACACUGGGACUGAGACACGGCCCAGACUCCUACGGGAGGCAGCAGUGGGGAAUAUUGCACAAUGGGCGCAAGCCUGAUGCAGCCAUGCCGCGUGUGUGAAGAAGGCUUUCGGGUUGUAAAGCACUUUCAGUUGGGAGGAAAAGUUGUAGAUUAAUACUCUAUAGCCCUGACGUUACCAACAGAAGAAGCACCGGCUAACUCCGUGCCAGCAGCCGCGGUAAUGCGGAGGGUGCAAGCGUUAAUCGGAAUUACUGGGCGUAAAGCGCGCGUAGGUGGUUUGUUAAGUCAGAUGUGAAAGCCCCGGGCUUAACCUGGGAACUGCAUUUGAUACUGGAUAACUAGAGUUUGGUAGAGGGGAGUGGAAUUUCCUGUGUAGCGGUGAAAUGCGUAGAUAUAGGAAGGAACACCAGUGGCGAAGGCGGCUCUCUGGACCAAAACUGACGCUGAGGUGCGAAAGCGUGGGUAGCAAACGGGAUUAGAUACCCCGGUAGUCCACGCCGUAAACGAUGUCAACUAGCCGUUGGGCCUAUUAAAAGGCUUAGUG